Molecule: long non-coding RNA, 2149 nt
Filed under: Panax ginseng (ginseng)
Lineage: Eukaryota; Viridiplantae; Streptophyta; Magnoliopsida; Apiales; Araliaceae
Description: long non-coding RNA (PGIN_LNC014905)
Source: RNAcentral
AAUCAUUUUUUAUACACGUGGAAAGUAGGUACAAGUAGUAAGGCGGCCCACGUCCCAGCAUCCCCAGCUCAACAAUGCCUGUACUUAACGUGCCGCCAUAAUCACCCGUACACGUCUCCACUAUCAACGGCUAAGAUGCACUAGAAUCUGACCCAAAUUGUUAAUCCAGGUGGCCGUUACUUUCCAUAAACCCUUUCUAAACCCGAAUCCAAGGUAUAUAUAUAUAUGACAUAAAUUCAUUUGGCCAUUCAAGCAUAAGCCAUUGUUUUGUUUGUGGGCUUCAUCCACAAGGUUAAAACCAGAAAAAAGAGUUUGAAUUUUUAUUUUUCUGAAGCUUUUAGGGGGUUUUUGAGCUAUUUGGGUUUUUGUAGUAAUGGAGAUGUUGAGAGUUUCUUUUGUGAUGACCAUUUUUGCACUUUUAUUGGCUCUGGUUCUUCCUGCGAUUAAUGCCCAGAUCCCUGCUCCUGCUCCUGCUCCUGCUCCUGCUCCUGCAAGUGAUGGUAUACUUUCUCUCUCUCUCUCUCUCUAUAUAUAUAUAUGUGUUUGCACAGCUGUUUUCUUAAAUGUAAACAUUAUACGAUGUUCACUCAGCUGUGUUUCUAAAUGUGCACAGUCUACGAGCGUAGAGUAGUCACUCUACGAACUGAAAAUUCACUCUAUGUUUUUACGAUAGUAAAGUGAUUACUCUAUUAUCAGUAAGUAACUACUCUACGAUCGAUCGUAGGAUAAUUCAAUUGUGGCAUGUGCACCUCCAUUUUUUUCUAUAUAAAAUGAAUUUUAAUUUUCAGAUUCUACUUUUGUUGGUGUGGGUAUUUGUAGCAGAAUCAAGAAUGUGUGAUUGGACUAAAAGGGGAUUUUUAUUUUUAUUUUUUGUGUUUUUGGGUGAAUAAUGUUGUGUUUGUAUAUUGUAGGAGCAGCAAUAGACCAAGGAAUUGCAUAUGUGCUGAUGCUGCUAGCUUUGGCGCUUACCUAUAUCAUUCAUUGAUUGUGGGGUUUUUCAAGAUUAGCUCAAACUCAAUUGAUUGCCUUCUUCUUGUUUGUUUCACAAUUAUUUGAUUCAAAAUCUAUUCUUUUUUCUUGGAUUUAUUCUUUGGUCUUGUUCUCUUUAUCUUGAUCUUUGUGUGGUUUGGACUAAGAUGAUGUUUGAUAAAAUUGAGUAAUUAAGAUCUGAUUAAUACAUCUUAAUAAAUUAGAUCAUCUAAAUAAAAUAACAUCUAAAAACAUAAAACCUCUUAAUGGCACUAUUUUGUAGUUUUAAGUUAUUUGAAAGAUUUUAAAAUUUGAAAUUGGAGUACAAUAUUUAUUGAGGUUAUUUUUGUCCAUAAAUUUUAAAUAAACUAUUAAGAGACGGCUCUUAAUAGUUAAUAUUUGAGUUUCUGUCUUAACGAUUAAGAAACAUUAAGAGGCAAAAAAAAAAUUAUCAAACAAAAUUUACUUCUGACCAAAUCAGAGACAAGUGAAUUAAGAGACAUACACAAAUAAACAAACACCGCCAAAGUCUAAAUUUAAAAACAAACAAGACACUUGGAUUCUAUUUAUUUGUAAGGAUUAUAAUCUCGAAAUUAUAAUACCUAGUCAGAUAUGAUAUUAAAUAAACUCCCAUAUUAAGACAUUUUAUAAUCUCUGAACUAAUAGUCCCAACUCUAAAUUUAAAAACAAACAAAACACUUAAAAUUAAUAAUCUUAAUCCAAAUAUAAUCUUUACAUACAAACAUAUCCUUGAGAUUAAUAGUCCUAUCAAACAUAGCCUAGAAGAAUUCAAGUUUGCUUGAUUAUUAAAACAGAAGGUUACUGCAAUAUUUUAGCGAGUUAUGCAUACCAAAUAUGGAGUUGGGAAAAAUAGCAAAUUCUCCAAGAAAAAUCCAAAAAAUUAAACUUGCUAUUUCUGUAGAAAAAGCACAUGGGGUUUUUACCAUUCUACAAGGAUUUCCCAGGUUUUGAGUUGUAAUUUGUUUGGCCUAGAAAUAGAAGUUAUUUUGCAAAGAUAUUAUUUCUACACAACACAACACAUUUACAUAUAUCUUUAAAAAGAAUAUUUAUUACAUAUAGUAGUAUCUAAAAGUGACAUUAAAAUUAGUAAAGAAAAGAAACUUACUUAUCAAAUACCAAAGGGCAGAAUACAAUCUUAAUGGAACAUUCUGCAGUUUCA